This 335-nucleotide unclassified non-coding RNA is filed under the name soil metagenome. Its description in RNAcentral is "partial contains 5.8S ribosomal RNA, internal transcribed spacer 2, and large subunit ribosomal RNA". The stretch from base 1 to 120 matches the Rfam family "5.8S ribosomal RNA", at positions 35 to 154 of the family's 154-position model. The record is from RNAcentral.
GAUGAAGAACGUAGCGAAAUGCGAUAAGUAGUGUGAAUUGCAGUAUUCAGUGAAUCAUCGAAUCUUUGAACGCACAUUGCGCCCCUUGGUAUUCCAUGGGGCAUGCCUGUUCGAGCGUCAUUUGUACCUUCAAGCUCUGCUUGGUGUUGGGUGUUUGUCCUUGCUCUAGUGGCGGGACUCGCCUUAAAGUAAUUGGCAGCCAGUGUUUUGGUUUUGAAGCGCAGCACAAGUCGCGAUUCAAGUCUAUACGCUAGUUUCCACAAGUCUUUUAUCACUUUUGACCUCGGAUCAGGUAGGGAUACCCGCUGAACUUAAGCAUAUCAAUAAGCGGAGGA